UGUAUUCAAAAGAAAUAGAACGAAUCGGAUGAUAUGGUUAUUUUUGGUACAAAUAUCAGAAUCCGUUUCAAUACAUUUGUUAUUUAGAUAUUUUUAGGUUUUUAUACAUAAGAACCGAACUCAAUCAGAUCCUGAAGGAUCCAACUCAAAAUCCACACAUAAAUUUAUAAUAUUCGAACGAGCCUAAUUUUAAAACAAAGAAAACGAUACCCGAG
This 215-nucleotide long non-coding RNA is filed under the name Brassica napus (rape). RNAcentral describes it as "long non-coding RNA (BNAP_LNC002804)". The record is from RNAcentral. Lineage: Eukaryota; Viridiplantae; Streptophyta; Magnoliopsida; Brassicales; Brassicaceae.